Molecule: transfer RNA, 71 nt
Filed under: Loxodonta africana (African savanna elephant)
Lineage: Eukaryota; Metazoa; Chordata; Mammalia; Proboscidea; Elephantidae
Rfam family: tRNA
About the family: Transfer RNA (tRNA) molecules are approximately 80 nucleotides in length. Their secondary structure includes four short double-helical elements and three loops (D, anti-codon, and T loops).
Source: Rfam by way of RNAcentral
GCAUUGGUGGUUCAGUUACAGAAUUCUCGGCUUCUAUGCAGAAGGCCUGGAUUCGAUUCCCGGCCAAUGCA